Molecule: long non-coding RNA, 2576 nt
Organism: Glossina fuscipes
Lineage: Eukaryota; Metazoa; Arthropoda; Insecta; Diptera; Glossinidae
Exons: 3
Source: RefSeq, a predicted model, not a curated record
AAUAAAUAAGAUUCAAAUUAUUAUUUUGAAAGUUAACAAAUUGUUCUACCGUACUGGAAUUAUAAAGAACAUUGAUUUCUUUUUAUAAGAAAGCAUAACAUUGGACGAUUUUAGAAUUGUUGAAAACAAUAUACAUUAUCACAGAAUUUCUAAAUACUUGGUGUAAAAAUAGAAAAAAGAGUUACCCAAUUAGAUGAAUAUAGAAAGAUUGAUCUUUGCUGCUUCGCAACCAAGUAAUUUACACAUACUUACCUGAUAUAUCGAUAGGAGUUUUUAAGAAGCCCAAGUUUAUUCGUUAAUUCCUUUCUAUGAGGAAUUUCAAACUCUACGCUUUGCCCAAUUGUCUCAGAGCGAUUUGAUAUUUUUCAUUUUUUACAAGCUUAAAAUCCAGUUGUCAAUUCCAUCGUAGUGCAUUGAAAAUAGGGAGGCCCGUUCCGAUACUCCAGAAUAAUUGUUGCGCGCUUGUUUAUAUAAAACUAGUGAGGCAUAGUGCACGGUGAGCUUUCAAGGUUAUCUACGAGUUGUAACGCAUUGAUCGUUGUAAAUUUAUCAUUCUUUUUAGACGAUGAUAUACAUACCGAACGACAUUUUAACCAGACUGUUGCGCGAUUACCCGAGGUUGUGGGGUCUUUCUGGGUAAUCCCGUAAAGAACACUUCAGAGAGACUGGGUAAAGAGUUGGGCAGGAUUGUAACAGUGAAUAUGGUGAGGUGAAAAUUGACGCAAUUUAAAGCGCCGGAAAAAAGAGUGUCCGAGCGAAACGUCCGUCCGCCAACCUAUGGCAUGCGUUUAAAUUAGGGUAUAAUUGGGCCGCUGAGGUAAUAACUAAAUAAACAGUCCGUAACAAUGACAAGCCUCAGCGCAAUGACAAACCGGCAGAGACACCAGACUUCAUGGGAUUUGACCAGACCGACGAAGGUAGGGGUUUGACAGCGAUAGACGAUAAACGUGACGAUAAAUGACAGUGACGUAGAGGGGGAAAUUCAACCGACCGAUAUGACUGACGGAACUGGUACUACUAAUAUAAAUAAAAGUAUACCAACUGCACCAAUCAAUAUCAUUGGUUUCGAUUAGGUAUCCACAUCAGCGGCCGCAGCGCUUGUGGAGGAGAAUCGGCGGCACAAACCGGCCCGGCAGCCAAUUUAGACAUCAGCAAGGAGGCACUGAAAAAAGUUGUGCGUCCAUGCCUCCGCACGUCCACGCCUCCUCACAAUGAAUGAAUAUUCGCUAUAUUUCAAAGGUAAGUUUACAUUUAUCUUCCCUCAUUGUUAUUUACAAAUUAUUUACUUAUUUCUAUUUAAUUUUAGAUUGACAAACAAGAUAUGCCGCCGCUCACAGCCAGGCCAUAAAAACGAGCAUACGCCUCCACGCUUCCGCGACACAAGGAUUCGUGCCUCUGAUGGUCGCAAAACAAAAAGUUCCUGAGCCAAAUAAAAUUUCGUAAGAAGCUCAGAAACAAACAGAGCCUUCGAAAACAAUUACAAAAGAAACUGUUAAUAAAAUAUUAGAGGCUACUGUACAGCAGUCUGCUGAAGGUAACCUUAAUAAACCUGUUUCUUCUCAGAAAACAUACGAAUUUUUUGGUGGUUACAAAGUAAUUCUCAAAAAAUCGAAGAAAGCUGCAAGAUCAAGACGCCAGAGGUGGAAGAUCAAAUGUUUUCUAUUAACGACAGCACCUUAAGUGCAAAAAGGGACCUAUUUAUGAAAUUGUCGAAGAACCUUCGCGAAGGUAGCCUAGACUACUACCGUUCAAGGUGCUAUUCAAGCACUUUACAGAGAGCCGGAACAUACAACAUUGGUUAUUGAACAUCGUGAAGCUAACACGUAUGUGGGAGGCACUGUCACAUUGGAAUUGGAAUGCAAAAGCAUUUCCAAAUCGGCAGUUCAAGUCAAACACGAUGGUAGAGCUGUCGAAAUGGAUGAGAGGCAUAAAUUUCUUUAUGAAGACGGUGGAAGCAUGCCACUGUUUAUAAAAAACGCCAAUGCGUCGACGCUGGUAAUAUGGCUUUCAUUUUCAUAUGUUCGUUAAGCGCCGUUAGCUGUUUUUUUUUCCUUUACAUCGUUUAUAAAAAACAAGCUUGUGUAAAAGGUGUCGUGGUAGCGAUCUACAUUUUCUUGAACAAUGUGGCUGGCAUAAAAUUCGAAGAUACGCAUCACGCAAGAAACCGGAGCGUGAUAAAAUUGACGUAAGUCUUAAUAAUUACUUACGUAAACUAUUUUCAAAGCAUACAAAAAAAAUAUCCUUAAAUAAUUGGCCAUUUCGAGAUAGCCUUAUAUACGCGUUGGGAGGACGCACCUAGAGAAGAAUGUCAUGAUACUGAAAAAUUUAAGCAGCUUUAAGAAAACUAAGAAUCUACUGCCGUUGUAGUAUACCAAAAGACUUGCCUUAUGUUCAUAGUAAGCACUGAAAUAAGAAAAGAUAGCUGGAAAGUAGUAAUUAUCUGGUAUAAAAAGUGGCUUUUAAAGACUUGUGCUCGUAUUUUUGAUCAAGAAGUGGAAUCACUGUCGGAGUACUAAUUGCUGUUAUGCUGUACACCUUUGGAAUAUAGCGCAUUUUGAUUCAUUGCGAGCACGCGC